Dermochelys coriacea (leatherback sea turtle) is the source of this 1281-nucleotide long non-coding RNA. RefSeq lists it as uncharacterized. The record is from RefSeq and is a predicted model, not a curated record. The transcript has 2 exons. NCBI's taxonomy places the organism in Eukaryota, Metazoa, Chordata, Testudines, Dermochelyidae.
UGUCAUCCAAGCUGAGCAGACUUCAAAAAGUACAAACAAUAUAAAGCUGUAAGGGGGGUGUCUGUGUACUGCUGCCACUUCGGCCAAUGUUCAAACAGUGGCACGGACCUGCAAAAAGUCCUCGGAGUUAAGUAUGAACCGACUGUGUUUUCCACCUCUAAAGCUAGACUUCACUUCUCUGAUUCUUGGUGUUUUGCCGCUUGUCUGAAAAUCACCAUUUGGAGGGAGAAGGUGUUUUGAAUAUAAUGUUCUUGGAGGAAUCCAGGGAGCAGGUCUAAGAGCUUCAGUGCUUCUUCUACUGCUCUUGGUUAGGCCAGCACAUGAAAGACCCAAUAGGAGCAUAAAGAGCAGUAAUAUGCGUGGAACACAGAGAAAGGUCACUGCUACAUGUGAAUUCAUUUUUAAAUAAUUCAACAAACCAUCUGUGACAUUUACCCUGCAAAGCAAUUUUUGAAAGUUUUCUAGCUGAUCCUGAUCUUCACAGAACAGAAUGUUUAUUGCUUCAGCUGUGCAAAGGAGUGUUCCUAUUUCAAGCCAAUCAAGACCAAUGGAUCAAAUUCAACCCUGUUGUAAGCAGGCAACUCCCAUUGAUAGGCCUGCGUACAUUUGCACUAUAGUUCAAUUUGGCUCACUAGCUUUAAUUUUUGUUCUCGUCUAGCACCGAUGCCUAUAGUGAAAACUGUGUAAACAUUUCCAUUGCAAAGGGUCAUUUCCAGUUGUCUAGAACUUCAUUCAUCUUUUACAUACUCUACGGUUAAUUUUCCAAUUUGCCAUUUCAUUUGCCUAAGUUGCCUGGAUUGCCCUCCAUAUUGUUACCCCUUCUUGUUUGCCAGUUGGUACCCUUUUCUAUUCAAGGCGGGAACAGGGUCAUUUGAACUAUGUAAUCUGCCUGGACACAAGAUUCUAUUUAAGGACCAUGCGCACAGCACUGUCUGCCCCUAGCCAAGACUACGAGUCAAGAGAAGACCUGUUUACCUGUUGUUCCUGAUCCUGUGGUAUCGUUCCUGGUCCCUUGUGUUGUUCCUGUGGUUGUGUGCCUGUCUCCUGGCAUUCCCUGUGGGCCCUGCUGUGCCCUAUCUGUGGUCCUUCUUCUGUAAAAGCAUCAGACAUGGUCAUGUAUUAAUCUCUUUGGUUUAUUUGUAUAUCUGUGUUACUUUGGGGUCCUUGGCUUCAAGCCCACCUGUGGGGUUAACAGCCAAGUGCUUUGUAUUGUAUAUAUCUUGUUUAUUAUUCUUGAUAAAUUUAUUCUUCUUAAUAAAUUCUUAUUCUGUUUGUACCUUA